UCAGAAACUGCUCAAAGAAAACUGUAAAAUUCACACAUAUCCAGUAGCUCUUUAGCUCUUAUGUUAUCAUUAGCUCUGGAAGAAAUAUAAGAAAAUUUAUAGCAUACUUCUAAAGAAAUUAAAAUUUCCCAAAGAAUUUGAGAUAUGAUGAUGCUUAUACAAUAACUUGGGAAUUAAAUUUUCAAAGCAGUGUCAUUGUCAAGUUGUUGAGAAUUAGGUAGAAUAUUACCUUUUCUAUUUUAACAAGGAAAGGUGAUUUUUUUCAGAAGAUUAGUUGUCACAGUGACUUCAGCUAAGCUGAUGGCUAGUUUGGCCUGAGGAAUGUUGGUCUGGGGCCAUGUUGAUGUGGUGGCCACCUGUUUGAUUGGUUUUUUGGCACUGUGAUGGAAUUGCUUAUAAGAAACCGUGCUGAACUGCAGAGAGCUUUCAGCAAGACUUUUAUUAAAGAGACAGAGAGGAGAGAAAAAAAAUGCAGACAAGGAGAUCACAAAUGCAUCAGAUGGCAACGAGAAAGGGAUUCUGUUUCACCUUGACUCCUUGUUUCCACUAACAACCUCUCCUUUAUCUACAACACUCCAAUAUUGCAGAACCUGAGGAUAUGAAAUCACUUCCUCCCUUCCCCUCAAAGAGAUCAAACAGUGGAAACUGGGACUUAUGGAUACUCCAAACAUUUGCAAAUG
This is a long non-coding RNA of Cyanistes caeruleus (blue tit), 680 nucleotides long. RefSeq lists it as uncharacterized. Lineage: Eukaryota; Metazoa; Chordata; Aves; Passeriformes; Paridae. The record is from RefSeq and is a predicted model, not a curated record.